UACGGAGGGUGCAAGCGUUAUCCGGAUUUACUGGGUUUAAAGGGUGUGUAGGCGGACUUUUAAGUCAGCGGUGAAAUCUCCGGGCUCAACCGGAACUGCCAUUGAUACUAUUAGUCUUGAAUAUUGUUGAGGUAGGCGGAACGGGUCAUGUAGCGGUGAAAUGCAUAGAUAUGACCCGGAACACCGAUGCGAAGGCAGCCUACUAA
RNAcentral lists this ribosomal RNA (206 nucleotides) under uncultured bacterium. RNAcentral's name for it is "partial 16S ribosomal RNA". It matches the Rfam family "Bacterial small subunit ribosomal RNA", at positions 524 to 732 of the family's 1533-position model. The record is from RNAcentral.